AUGUGGAGACUGGAAACUGGAAUACUUGAACGUACAGUACAUGUAAUAGUAAACAUACAUUACAAUUUACAAACCUAACUAAAUCAUCGUGAAAUAUAGAGGCCGGAACCAUUUGUGAACUCGCAGCUUUUGGUAUUUCUCCAUCGUCUGUGCUGUCGCUAUAUCACAGCGAAAUAAGAAAAAUUAGGUUAUCAAAAUACUACGCAUCAAAAUCGGCUUAUAAAGAAUUCGCGUAGACAGCAGAAAUGUGACGCGAAAGCUGGAACAUGCUGAAAAGGUCGCCAUCUUGGAUUUGGCGCUUCAGAGGAAACUGGUGACAAAAAUGAUCAUUGUUUUUCACGUUUGACACGCUGACCUCGUUUUGCUAACUUGUUUAUGUUGUGCCUAUUAAUGACGCUCGUUAUGCUAAUGAUUGCCUCGGUGCACGUGUUUGAAGUAUGGCAGAGCACGUUUUGCUCCGCUCACAGAUGCAAUUAUGGAUAAAAAACUUGUGUCCAAGCCAGUUGCAGUACAUGAAGACCACAAACACUGGUAGUGUUGUUG
This 543-nucleotide long non-coding RNA is filed under the name Dendronephthya gigantea. RNAcentral's name for it is "uncharacterized LOC114519626, transcript variant X2". The record is from RNAcentral. Lineage: Eukaryota; Metazoa; Cnidaria; Anthozoa; Malacalcyonacea; Nephtheidae.